GACCGCUCCGGUGGUCUAAUGAUUAGAGCAUUUGCCUCAGAUGCAGGAGGUCGAGGGUUCGAACCACGACCGAGUCA
This is a non-coding RNA of Potamilus streckersoni, 77 nucleotides long. The record is from the annotation of a GenBank genome assembly. NCBI's taxonomy places the organism in Eukaryota, Metazoa, Mollusca, Bivalvia, Unionida, Unionidae.